RNAcentral lists this unclassified non-coding RNA (212 nucleotides) under uncultured Basidiomycota. Its description in RNAcentral is "sequence contains ITS2". Lineage: Eukaryota; Fungi; Basidiomycota. The record is from RNAcentral.
ACUCUUCAACCCACCAGUUUCUUGUAAACUGAGUUGGUGUUUGGUUUCUGAACGUUGCUGUUCUUUGAACUCAGCUCGUUUAAAAUUUAUUAGCAUCUCAAUUUCGAAACUUGGAUUGACUCAGCGUAAUAGACUAUUCGCUGAGGACACCUUUCAGGUGGCCAUGUUAGAUAACGAUUGAUGCUUAUAGCACUCUAUCUAGUCAUUUUAAG